This is a non-coding RNA of Pelobates cultripes (western spadefoot toad), 99 nucleotides long. Lineage: Eukaryota; Metazoa; Chordata; Amphibia; Anura; Pelobatidae. The record is from the annotation of a GenBank genome assembly.
CUCCCUCGCGGUUCCCAGAAUUCCCAGCAUCUACACAUCAUAGAGUAGUGAUUACUGUAUGAUGUGUAGAUGCUGGGAAUUAUGGGAACCGCGAGGGAG